This 567-nucleotide long non-coding RNA is filed under the name Vigna radiata. RNAcentral's name for it is "long non-coding RNA (VRAD_LNC007070)". The record is from RNAcentral. Lineage: Eukaryota; Viridiplantae; Streptophyta; Magnoliopsida; Fabales; Fabaceae.
AGAGCAUUGGUAGGGUCGUCGGUUAUGGAAGACGCUUUAAAAGAUAGAAGCGCACGAUAUUCUGAGAUGCGCGCAGCAUGGAGUGUGUGAGAAUAGAAGAGGAAAAAGAAGAAGAAGAAGAGAGAACAGAGGAAGAGUCGCAUUUUGUGUGGGAAUGGAAAUGGAGAAAUGGAGAAAUGGAAAGGAAAAGGAAAAUGAAAAUGAAAAUGUGGAGGGAAGUGAGUUAAAGAGUGAGUGAGUGAGUGAGUGUAGGUGUUGUAUUGUGUGUUUGUUUGUGUGAUUGCUACUGAUCACUGAUUACUGACCCCUGACCAGUGUGUGAGUGGAUGAGGACUGAGCCAGUCUUCAGCCAUGCCCUCCAGAUAGAGCUGUCAAUUAGGCCCUCUAAUAGGCCCUCUAAUAGGCCCUGGCCCUAGCCCAUGUGGGUUGGGGCCAAAAAAGCCUCUAGGGUCAAAAAAGACCUUUAUUAAAAAAGCUCUCAGGGCUAAAAAGCCCCAAAGCCCUGUGGGUUAGGGCCAGUCCAUGGGCUUUCUUUUUUACAAAAAAAAAUUAAAUAUCCAAAAAUAA